CGGCGAGUGAGCGGCAACAGCUCAAAUUUGAAAGCUAGCCUUCGGGUUCGCAUUGUAAUUUGUAGAGGAUGAUUUGGGGAAGCCGCCUGUCUAAGUUCCUUGGAACAGGACGUCAUAGAGGGUGAGAAUCCCGUAUGUGACAGGAAAUGGCACCCUAUGUAAAUCUCCUUCGACGAGUCGAGUUGUUUGGGAAUGCAGCUCUAAAUGGGAGGUAAAUUUCUUCUAAAGCUAAAUAUUGGCGAGAGACCGAUAGCGCACAAGUAGAGUGAUCGAAAGAUGAAAAGCACUUUGGAAAGAGAGUUAAAAAGCACGUGAAAUUGUUGAAAGGGAAGCGCUUGCAAUCAGACUUGUUUAAACUGUUCGGCCGGUCUUCUGACCGGUUUACUCAGUUUGGACAGGCCAGCAUCAGUUUCGGCGGCCGGAUAAAGGCUCUGGGAAUGUGGCCUCCACUUCGGUGGAGGUGUUAUAGCCCAGGGUGUAAUACGGCCAGCCGGGACUGAGGUCCGCGCUUCGGCUAGGAUGCUGGCGUAAUGGUUGUAANCGACCCNUCUUGAAACACNNACCANCA
This 568-nucleotide ribosomal RNA is filed under the name Aureobasidium proteae. RNAcentral's name for it is "eukaryotic LSU rRNA". It matches the Rfam family "Eukaryotic large subunit ribosomal RNA", at positions 87 to 671 of the family's 3401-position model. The record is from RNAcentral. Lineage: Eukaryota; Fungi; Ascomycota; Dothideomycetes; Dothideales; Saccotheciaceae.